GAGGAAGUUGGGGUGGUUCAAGUGGCCAAUUCUCAGUCUCUCUCGUUCUUCCCUAAGUGAAAUUUGUGCCUGAAUUUAUUUGUCCAGAUUAAGUUCAUUGAAUAUGAUUUUAAGGAGCAAGGAAUCCUUUACAGGAGUUGGAGAUUGCAAUUUUAAAGCAAAAGGAGAGGUAUUAAGACAGCUAUGUGCUUCCUCCAGACUACUUCAUUAUCGAAAGACAUCAUAAAAGAAAAUUUAGCUGGAAUUAAGCAGGGAAACCACAUCCUCGAAGAUGGUGGAAUAAAUUGCAAGAGGACUUCAGUUUGAACGUUUACUAUAUAUUGAAGCCGAUAACACUGAGAAAUCCAAGAUGACUCGUAGCUGGAGGAAUUUAUUGCUAGAGGACUUUGUUUCAACGUUUACUAUAAUAGUUUGAAGCCGGUUAUCCAGGGACUCCUUUUUUUUUUUUUUUUUUUUU
This is a long non-coding RNA of Macrobrachium nipponense, 457 nucleotides long. RefSeq lists it as uncharacterized. The transcript is spliced from 4 exons. Lineage: Eukaryota; Metazoa; Arthropoda; Malacostraca; Decapoda; Palaemonidae. The record is from RefSeq and is a predicted model, not a curated record.